RNAcentral lists this long non-coding RNA (719 nucleotides) under Ictidomys tridecemlineatus (thirteen-lined ground squirrel). RNAcentral's name for it is "lncRNA (ENSSTOG00000030256.1)". The record is from RNAcentral. Lineage: Eukaryota; Metazoa; Chordata; Mammalia; Rodentia; Sciuridae.
CAGGCGCAGCGCCCCUACCGCCCGCUUUUCUCCCUCCUUCUCCUCCUCCUCCUUCCCCCAGCCACCAGCGCAGUCACAACCGGUUCAGACUGGCCAGGGUGCCCGGCAAAGAAGAGAAACAAGGGGAAAAAACUGGGGGGAAAACUUCGCAGGGAGGAGGAAGAGAAGAAAAAAGGUGGAGCCCAAAGGAGAGGGCAGGCUCCCCAGCUCCAUGUGGCCGCCGCCGCCGCAGGUUUCAGCGGGGGCAGAGGGCGGCGGCCCCCGGGACAAGGCGUAGCGGGACGGAUUGCCCAAUACAGCUGCAGGGGCCGGGUCUCGGGAUAAAUAGCCGCCCGGCCAGGAGCUGCAGGGGAGAGUGGCAGCCGCGGUCCCUACCCUACCGCACCAUCUGCCCGGCCUGCGCCGGGUGCUGCGCCCCGGAGCCCCCUCCGAGGCCGGUACUCAGGACCUACAGAAAGCACCAACUUCACCUUACAAUGGAAUUUAAAAAAUCACCUGAUGGUGGAUGGGGCUGGGUAAUUGUGCUGGUCUCCUUCUUCACUCAGUUUUUGUGUUACGGAUCCCCGUUAGCUGUUGGAGUCUUAUAUAUAGAAUGGUUGGAUGUCUUUGGUGAAGGAAAAGGAAAAACAGCCUGGGUGGGAUCCCUGGCCAGUGGAGUUGGCUUGCUUGCAAGUAAGUGGAGAAAUGUAUGCCCCUCCUUACUGUUUCAUCCUUAAUUA